This 250-nucleotide ribosomal RNA is filed under the name uncultured bacterium. Its description in RNAcentral is "partial 16S ribosomal RNA". It matches the Rfam family "Bacterial small subunit ribosomal RNA", at positions 524 to 776 of the family's 1533-position model. The record is from RNAcentral.
UACGGGGGGAGCAAGCGUUGUUCGGAUUUACUGGGCGUAAAGGGCUCGUAGGCGGCCAACUAAGUCAGACGUGAAAUCCCUCGGCUUAACCGGGGAACUGCGUCUGAUACUGGAUGGCUUGAGUUUGGGAGAGGGAUGCGGAAUUCCUGGUGUAGCGGUGAAAUGCGCAGAUAUCAGGAGGAACACCGGUGGCGAAGGCGGGUCUCUGGCCGAUAUGACGCUGAGGAGCGAAAGCGUGGGAGCGAACAGG